Molecule: long non-coding RNA, 250 nt
Filed under: Homo sapiens (human)
Lineage: Eukaryota; Metazoa; Chordata; Mammalia; Primates; Hominidae
Description: long non-coding RNA NONHSAT076890.2
Source: RNAcentral
UGUACCAUUUAUCACCAAAUUUAUCUCAUAACCUAAGAGCUACCACUUACAAAUUUGAAGGGAAAAAUUACUACAUUGUAAUACUCAAGCCAACACAAAGAAUCCUAUCCCAGUUUCUUGAGUGGAUGGGCAAGAAUAUGGGGAAUUUAUUAUGCAGUAACCUUCAUCUCUCUUCUAUAGGUCAGGAUUUAAGUUUACCUCAAAAAUGGAAGAUUUUAACAUGGAGAGUGACAGCUUUGAAGAUUUCUGG